This 776-nucleotide long non-coding RNA is filed under the name Ananas comosus (pineapple). RNAcentral's name for it is "long non-coding RNA (ACOM_LNC037716)". The record is from RNAcentral. Lineage: Eukaryota; Viridiplantae; Streptophyta; Magnoliopsida; Poales; Bromeliaceae.
AACAUUUCAAAAAUUUAAUUUGAGCUAGUCAACAGUACGUAAUUUUAUUUCAAAAUUUAAGCUAACUACUUAUUUUAAUUAAUUUAUACUUGCAAAUAUCGUAUGAAGUAUAAUAACUAAACUUGUAAAAAUAGACCACACGUUCAAAUUUUGAAGUCAAAAUAUCAUUGAGCGACACAAAUCAAAUGAAUUGAAAGGUAAAAUCAAAAUUUUGAAAAAUUGAAUAGCCAAUUCAAAAGUUUUAUAAGUUUUUACCUUUAAUUUAUUUGGCUAAAUUACAGAAAACCCCCCUGUAAUAACCCACUUUUUUACUUUCCCCACCUGUCAUUUAAAAACCUACACUUUGCCCCCUUGUAAAAUAAAAAAUAUUCAUAGGGGGGUAUGGUGUGUAAAUGACCAUUUUGCCCCUCGCCAUAUUCAUCUUCUUCCUCAUCUUCCUCAGUUGCCCUUUGAUCGGCCGCGAUUCCCACCUCAAUCGGCCGCGAUUUCUCUCCAUUUUCUUCUCCACCUGCUCCCCUUCUCCUCCUGCACCCUCGCCGCCCCUUGAUUUCGGCGACAGUAGGGAGAAAAUCGAGGUGGGUGUUGAUGGAGAGGUAGGCAAGGGCAACGAGGGCGAAGGCGAGGCGGUGGAGGAGAGUGAAGGGGAUGUGGGCGAGGGCGAGACAGUGGAAGAGGGCGAGGCGGCGAUGAGGCGGCGAGCCGGAGGGAGGCGAAGCAACAGGAAAGAGGGUGGAGGGAUAUUUUUGGUAUAAAAAAAUAUUUUAUAAUUGGAAUCU